Molecule: transfer RNA, 69 nt
Filed under: Heterocephalus glaber (naked mole-rat)
Lineage: Eukaryota; Metazoa; Chordata; Mammalia; Rodentia; Bathyergidae
Rfam family: tRNA
About the family: Transfer RNA (tRNA) molecules are approximately 80 nucleotides in length. Their secondary structure includes four short double-helical elements and three loops (D, anti-codon, and T loops).
Source: Rfam by way of RNAcentral
GUAAAAAUAGUUUAACUAAAACAUUAGAUUGUGAUUCUAAAAAUAGAGAUUUAAAUUCUCCUUUUUACC